AUGACGUAAGCGAGUGUGAUGUUCGUGGCAACAGUUGUGUGCAGAUCAACAAUGGAUAAUAUAUCGAGUGCGGGAGAGAGUAUGAGCGUGCAGCGUUUAAAGCGUGGAAGCACUGACCUUACUUUGAGUUUGAUUCCGUAAAAAGUGACAAAAACAUUAGCGUCCGCUGUUCACUGCGUGGGAAGAAAACUUCUUUUUACAGCGAAAAAAACCCUUAACUUCCGAGCAAGCACCAACUAUGCUACCACGGAAUGGGAAAUUCACAGAGAAACUUGUGGAUUCUUCCACUGACCGCUGCGGCACGCCUGCACCAGGGCAAACAUCUGCCUGCUAUACAGGUGAAAAUAGAGCAACAGGACCGCUGAGUCUUUGAUUUUAUUUAUUUUCUGCUGGGUUUCACUUGCAUUUAUUUGAAAGACUGAGUGUAAACACAAAAAAAUAUUUUAUUUUAUGUGCUGGAAUGUGCAGAAAAUAGGUUUAAAUGUUAAACAAAUUUCUUCCAGUCAGAGUGUUGAAAAGACCCACCUUUUAGCACAUCUCAGCACACCCAUUCACUUCACCAGGUGCACCUUGUUUAGUUCUCUCACCUUUAAUUGGGUGUGGUGCUUGUCCUUAAUUGCACUCACCUGUCACACAUAUAUAAGGACUGCAUUCACUUUUGGCUCACUCUUUCUUCACUCCCACACGGGGCGGCAGCAGAGGUGAGGUUCUGUUUGGGUUUUUAUUUUAUGUGUUGUUUAAGGUAAUGAGUAACUUAAAUCUGUUUUCUUUCAGCAUUGACAGUCCAUGUGUCUUUCCUUCUUUGCUUUAUUGAGUUGAGAAUAAAAGGAGAACCCUGUGAAUGAUUAGAUGACUGCUUAUUCUCAUUCUGAUCGGAUGAGCCCAUGAUGCUGAUUAUUUAAACCCUGAGCCUUCCUUCCUUCACAACACAGAGAAUGUUGCAUAUAAUUUAAUUUUUGCUUGAUGCAUAAAGUUAAAAGAUUAAAACUAAUAAAACAAGUUUUAAAAAGAGACUUUUCCAUUUGAUUACAUUUUAUAUGAUGGAUUAGGCAGAAAAAGUAGAAUUGGGCUGAAAGAUCUAUUGCUUUAUCACCUAUCCAGGUUGUAAGUCGUGUUUUUAAAAAGUAACUAAGUAAUUAAUUACUUUUGAAAAUAAGUAAUCAGUAAAGUAACGGGAUUGCUUUUUUGGGCAAGUAAUCAGUAAUUAGUUACUGAUUACUUUUUUCAAGUAACUUGACCAACACUGCUCAUCGCUAAUCCACCAGUGAUCACAGAGAGAGACUCAGUCACACUCAACUGUGAGACUCCCCUAUGUCUUUCUGUGCCUGAAUGUUAUUUCUACACUUCAAGUGGAGGGACAGUCAACAAGUUUUCCUGUCUAACGACACUGACAGCAACCAAACUGCUGGAGUUGGCACAUCUCAGAUCACCUACUGAAAUUUAAACUGAACUGUUCUUGCACUGCACAGUCUGGAGAGUUAACAUCUCCAUACAGUAACAUGUCCACCAUUAAAGUAAAAAAGUGAUUUUCUAUUCUACCCCAUUAUACAUUGGACAUAUACAAUAAUAAAUUAUAUAAUACAAUAUAUAACACUUUAUAUAUUGUAUAAUUUUAGGGUCUACCUUAAAAUAUAAAGUGCCUUGAGGCAACUGUUUUCUUAAUUUGGUGCUGUGUAAAUAAAAUUGGAAUAGAAAUAUUCAUACAGUAUCAAAACAGCAGAUGUUGUGUAUUGUAACAUUUCAGUUUUAAAUGUGACUUUAGUGGAAAAUCCAAAGGAUGCAAGCACGACAGAUUUAACAACUAUCAUUCCUGAUAAAACAUCAUCAUCAUCAUAAAACAUAAUGUGUUUUAAGUUUGCUAAUCACAGAUGUUUCCUGUUGUAAUAUUUUAGUCAUAAAUUGUGUUUAGGGACAACUUCAAAGGAUGGAAGAACCACAGAUUUAGCCACUGUCAGUCCUGGUAAAACAUCAUCUGGGGACAAAGUUCACACAGGUAUCUGUUAUGAACGUAUGUCAUUGUGACACUGUGCCUGUAAUAUUUUUUUUUAGUUUAUCUACUACUGUUCCACGUAGGAUACAUGUUAUGUAAUCACAUAAAAUAUCAGGUAUAAACCCAUCUGUGUUUUCAAAACCCAAAUUUACAAAAAAUCUAUAAAUAAAACCAGAAUGUAAUGAUUUUUUAAUCGUAUCAGCCUGUAUUUAUUCACAACCAAAUAAAUACAGUACAAAGUGAGUGACCUCCUUUCUUUCAUUCAUACAUUUAUGCAGUAUCCUCAUCACAGAUAUUUUGUGCUAUAACAUUUCAUUUUUAAAUGUUUAUUUAGGGGCAAAUCUCAAGGAUAAAAGAACCACAGAUUUGACAACCUUCAAUCCUGGUACACUAUCAUCUGGGGAGAGAGUUGAUGCAGGUAUCCUUCACUAAAAUAUUUUAUUGGGACAGCGUGACAUUUCUUUUUCUUUCUUUGCUGGUUUUGUUGUCUUUGUUGUUGUUGUUUAUUUUUGUUUUUCAAGUUUGGCCACUACUUUGACUUUCAAACACUGGUGCCACAUAAAUGUUAUCUAAUUACAAAAUGGUGUCAGAUCUAAAUUUAUCUUUGUUUUACAACCCAGAAUCCAAAAAAGUUAUAAUGCUAAUUUGCAAAAGUUGGGAUAAACAUGUAAAUAAAAGCAGAAUGCAAAAAUCUAUGACUCUUAUGAACUUCUAUUUUACUCACAGCCAAGUAAAUAAAGUACAAAGCAAGUGACUUUGUCUGCUAACUCAUUAUACAUUUAUAGAGUGUCCUAGUCACAGACAUUUUGUGCUGUAAUGUUUCAGUUUUAAAUUUGUGUUUAGGGGGAAAUUCAGAGAAUGGAAGAACCACAGUUUUAAAACAUUGUAAAACAUCUUUUGGGGACAUACAGGAUACAGAUAUCCUUCAUAUACGUUUAUUUAUUUAUUUUAUGUUGAAAUAAUUUUUAUUCUGAGUUAUAAUGAAUCUUUUUAACUGUUUAAUAUGAUGAGAUAUCAGUGUGAAGUUCAAUACUCCAGUAGUUUCAGAUCUCUCCUCACAUUACUAAAAAAGCAUAAUCUUCGCCAUAACAGAAAAAAAAAUUACAUGAGUUAAUGGCUUCUUUUCACAAUGCAGAACACCCAAAAGUCCAGGUUAACAUUAGUUGGCAGCAUUUGUGGAGUGACUGCAGUCUUCAUAAGAUUUGCACUUCUUUGCACCCAUAUAAGAAUUGGUGAGAAUCUAUGUAUUAAUCUGAAAGGAGCCGGAUGAAAAUAUUUUUAAUUCUUACAUGUAUUUAUAAAGGUUUGAACUU
Long non-coding RNA from Oreochromis niloticus (Nile tilapia), 3303 nucleotides. NCBI's taxonomy places the organism in Eukaryota, Metazoa, Chordata, Actinopteri, Cichliformes, Cichlidae. The record is from Ensembl.